This is a non-coding RNA of Phoenix dactylifera (date palm), 1866 nucleotides long. The record is from RefSeq and is a predicted model, not a curated record. NCBI's taxonomy places the organism in Eukaryota, Viridiplantae, Streptophyta, Magnoliopsida, Arecales, Arecaceae.
AUGCGCUCUAAGAAUGUAUUAGAAAAAAAAAAUAAAGAAUAUCCAGUUAUUUUUAAACCACUGCUGAUCUGCCUCAUGUUAACAUGCAUCGAAGGGUGAUGCGUGUUGGAGUUGGGCGCUGAGAGCAUUGAGAAGCAGCCUAAGGUUGUGAUGAUUAAUGGAGGAGAAUGGAUAGGAAUGGGAGUCUUUCACGUCAUGAUGAUGAAUGGGGUGAGAGAAGAGGGUAUAUAUGGCAGCUGUGGCGGUGCUAAUGGUUGCAGCAGCAAGGAGAGACACUAUAAUGUGAUAGUGCAAUGAUGCUCACUUAGGUUGACAGCAUCAAGGGCAUGCAUAUGGAUGGAGACAUAGAAUCCGAGUUGAUUGUCACCACUUGGGCUUUGUUGGAUGCUAGUUCCUAGAAAUUGCUGAUAAUUACGUAAAAUAUGAUUUGUAAAUAAUUACAUUAUUUAAUAAUAAAUAUAUAUUGCAAAAAUAAUUGGAAAGAAGACAUGCUUGAAACAAAACUUGCAAAGACAAUGCUCCGAGAAAGAAUUUUGCCCCCUUGUGUAGAUUCACGUGGAGAUCAUCCCCAAAGUACGAUGAUUCCGGCUUAACCUAAUGCUUUCUAUCACGAGCAUGAUUGCAUGAAGAUCCAAUCUAAUGGACUCCUGGAGUUGUCCAGGAAGAAGAGUAGAAAAGUAUUAGAGAAAUUGAAUGAGAAAACUGAAAAAAAAAAAAAAAGAAGCUAGCGAGGUCUCUCUUAGAGUAAUAGCACAGGCCUGAUUUAUUUUCAGAUUGUGUUCAUGACUCAAUACUUGGAGUCUAUUUUCCCUAUCAACAGGCACAUGUGCCAACCAAGCAGACCUCGGCGAACGAGUGCGUGUCACCAACCCAUCAUCUCCAAAAAAAAUAUAGGUAGUUUUUCAUUAUUUUUCUUCUCUCUUCUUGAACUGUAAAUCUUUAUGCAACUUGCUGACCAACUAUACUGCGAGUAUGCGGAUCUGGCAAUGCCGGAUCUUCAGCGAACUCCACCUCCCUCACCGCUAUCCUCCUCGCUUGCCACGAAUGCAAUAUUCUCAGCCUUCUGACUGUGAGAAGAGUGGCAGGCAGCCAAGCACAACAUCUAUUCGAUGGAAUGCUGAAGAGAGGCAUGAGCAUUAGUACAUGUUGGGUGGCUAUACUGGUAAUGAGAACAAGAUAGCUCUUCACUUUAGUACUGCCUUUUGGCCUAACGUAGAAGUUUUAGGAAUGGUUGGUCCAACAUCUUAUGCCUGUGGCUAUUUUCUCAAUCUCCACAAAGCAACAGGACAUCCUAUUCUUGUGUACAUGGCUACUGGAAGGUUUGCUCAUGACAUUGAGAAACUAUCUGAUGAAGAAGCUGUUAACUUUGUGAUGCUACAACUUAAGAAAAUGCUACCAGAUGCCACAGAACCGAUAAGACUCUAUCACAUGUAUUCAUUGGUGUUUGUGCUGUACUCCAAUGGUGAUUUUAGCUUCGGACUAAUUUUUUUAACUGUAAUUUUUUUUUUCAAGUUCAGUAUUUGGUUUCUCGGUGGGGUACAGAUUCAGAUUCCCUUGGGUCCUAUUCUUGUGAUCUGGUUGGGAAGCCAGCUGAUUUGUAUGAGAGAUUUUGCACUCCUGUGGGGAAGCAGCAAGUGUUGAUCAUUCUAGGUCUGUUCAUGGAGCUUAUACAUCAGGUAUCUUGGCUGUCGAAGACUGCCGAAGGCAUCUAUUAUUGCAGCAUGGUAUCUCGGAUCGCUUCCAGACUGUAUUAAGGGAGGAAAUGUCCGAAAUGAUACCCUUCCAAAUAUUUGGGAUGUAGUUUAUUUUUUGCUGGAUCAAUAACGAAACCCUGUAUUAUCUAGAAAUAAAUGGAAGUAUAUUUUU